GAUCCUGGCUCAGAAUCAACGCUGGCGGCGUGCCUAACACAUGCAAGUCGAACGCGGUUUUCCCGCAAGGGAAGACUGAGUGGCAAACGGGUGAGUAACACGUGGGUGACCUGCCUUCGAGUGGGGGAUAACGUUCCGAAAGGGGCGCUAAUACCGCAUAACAUCCUGUUUUUUAACAGAUGGAGAUCAAAGCCUGGGACCGUAAGGCCAGGCGCUUGAAGAGGGGCCCGCGCCUGAUUAGCUAGUUGGUGGGGUAAUGGCUCACCAAGGCAACGAUCAGUAUCCGGCCUGAGAGGGCGGACGGACACACUGGGACUGAGACACGGCCCAGACUCCUACGGGAGGCAGCAGUGGGGAAUUGUUCGCAAUGGGCGCAAGCCUGACGACGCAACGCCGCGUGGAGGAUGAAGAUCUUCGGGUCGUAAACUCCUUUCGAUCGAGACGAAUAGCCUUCGGGUUAAUAGCCUGGAGGAAUGACGGUACCGAGAGAAGAAGCCCCGGCUAACUCCGUGCCAGCAGCCGCGGUAAUACGGGGGGGGCAAGCGUUGUUCGGAAUUACUGGGCGUAAAGGGCUCGUAGGUGGCCAACUAAGUCAAACGUGAAAUCCCUCGGCUUAACCGGGGAACUGCGUUUGAUACUGGAUGGCUUGAGUUUGGGAGAGGGAUGCGGAAUUCCAGGUGUAGCGGUGAA
RNAcentral lists this ribosomal RNA (690 nucleotides) under uncultured Acidobacteriota bacterium. Its description in RNAcentral is "bacterial SSU rRNA". It matches the Rfam family "Bacterial small subunit ribosomal RNA", at positions 15 to 685 of the family's 1533-position model. Lineage: Bacteria; Pseudomonadati; Acidobacteriota. The record is from RNAcentral.